This 532-nucleotide ribosomal RNA is filed under the name uncultured bacterium. RNAcentral describes it as "bacterial SSU rRNA". It matches the Rfam family "Bacterial small subunit ribosomal RNA", at positions 777 to 1307 of the family's 1533-position model. The record is from RNAcentral.
AAUAGAUACCCAGGUAGUCCACGCCGUAAACGAUGAGUGCUAAGUGUUAGAGGGUUUCCGCCCUUUAGUGCUGCAGCUAACGCAUUAAGCACUCCGCCUGGGGAGUACGGCCGCAAGGCUGAAACUCAAAGGAAUUGACGGGGGCCCGCACAAGCGGUGGAGCAUGUGGUUUAAUUCGAAGCAACGCGAAGAACCUUACCAGGUCUUGACAUCCUCUGACCUCCCUGGAGACAGGGCCUUCCCCUUCGGGGGACAGAGUGACAGGUGGUGCAUGGUUGUCGUCAGCUCGUGUCGUGAGAUGUUGGGUUAAGUCCCGCAACGAGCGCAACCCUUGACCUUAGUUGCCAGCAUUCAGUUGGGCACUCUAAGGUGACUGCCGGUGACAAACCGGAGGAAGGUGGGGAUGACGUCAAAUCAUCAUGCCCCUUAUGACCUGGGCUACACACGUGCUACAAUGGAUGGUACAAAGGGCUGCGAGACCGCGAGGUUAAGCCAAUCCCAGAAAACCAUUCCCAGUUCGGAUUGCAGGCUG